CCUACGGGAGGCUGCAGUGGGGGAUAUUGCACAAUGGGGGGAACCCUGAUGCAGCGACGCCGCGUGGGUGAAGAAGCGCCUCGGCGCGUAAAGCCCUGUCAGCAGGGAAGAAACUGACGGUACCUGAAGAAGAAGCCCCGGGUAAAUACGUGCAAGCAGCCGCGGUAAUACGUAGGGGGCAAGCGUUAUCCGGAUUUACUGGGUGGAAAGGGGGGGCAGACGGGGAUGCAAGCUAGGAGUGAAAGCCCGGGGCCCCACCCCGGGACUGCUCUUGGAACUGCGUGGCUGGAGUGCAGGAGGGGCAGGCGGAAUGCCUGGUGUAGCGGUGAAAUGCGUAGAUAUCAGGAGGAACACCGGUGGCGAAGGCGGCCUGCUGGACUGCAACUGACGUUGAGGCCCGAAAGCGUGGGGAGCAAACAGGAUUAGAUACCCCAGUAGUC
RNAcentral lists this ribosomal RNA (440 nucleotides) under uncultured bacterium. RNAcentral describes it as "partial 16S ribosomal RNA". It matches the Rfam family "Bacterial small subunit ribosomal RNA", at positions 338 to 795 of the family's 1533-position model. The record is from RNAcentral.